UACGAAGGGGGCUAGCGUUGUUCGGAAUUACUGGGCGUAAAGCGCACGCAGGCGGUCCGUUAAAUUAGGAGUGAAAGCCCUGGGCUCAACCCGGGAAAUGCUCUUAAGACUGGCGGACUUGAAUCCGGAAGAGGGCAGUGGAAUUCCAAGUGUAGAGGUGAAAUUCGUAGAUAUUUGGAAGAACACCAGUGGCGAAGGCGACUGCCUGGUCCGGCAUUGACGCUCAUGUGCGAAAGCGUGGGGAGCAAACAGG
Molecule: ribosomal RNA, 253 nt
Filed under: uncultured bacterium
Lineage: Bacteria
Description: partial 16S ribosomal RNA
Rfam family: Bacterial small subunit ribosomal RNA
Source: RNAcentral